Molecule: transfer RNA, 71 nt
Filed under: Kiritimatiella glycovorans
Lineage: Bacteria; Pseudomonadati; Kiritimatiellota; Kiritimatiellia; Kiritimatiellales; Kiritimatiellaceae
Description: tRNA-Ala
Source: RNAcentral
GCGGGUGGCGGCGGGGGCGUUGUCCAGCAUGGCGCGCCGGUCGAUCGACGGUGCGGGUUCAUCCGCGCGCA